AACGCUAGCUACAGGCUUAACACAUGCAAGUCGAGGGGCAGCACGGGAGUAGCAAUACAACUGGUGGCGACCGGCGCACGGGUGAGUAACGCGUAUGCAACCUACCUAUCAGAGGGGAAUAACCCGGCGAAAGUCGGACUAAUACCGCAUAAAACAGGGGCACCGCAUGGUGAUAUUUGUUAAAGAAAUUCGCUGAUAGAUGGGCAUGCGUUCCAUUAGGUAGUUGGUGAGGUAACGGCUCACCAAGCCGACGAUGGAUAGGGGAACUGAGAGGUUGGUCCCCCACACUGGUACUGAGACACGGACCAGACUCCUACGGGAGGCAGCAGUGAGGAAUAUUGGUCAAUGGGCGAGAGCCUGAACCAGCCAAGUCGCGUGAAGGAAGAAGGAUCUAUGGUUCGUAAACUUCUUUUGCAGGGGAAUAAAGUGCAGGACGUGUCCUGUUUUGUAUGUACCCUGAGAAUAAGGAUCGGCUAACUCCGUGCCAGCAGCCGCGGUAAUACGGAGGAUCCGAGCGUUAUCCGGAUUUAUUGGGUUUAAAGGGUGCGUAGGUGGUUUUAUAAGUCAGCGGUGAAAGUUUGCAGCUUAACUGUAAAAAUGCCGUUGAAACUGUAAGACUUGAGUGUAAAUGAGGUAGGCGGAAUGCGUGGUGUAGCGGUGAAAUGCAUAGAUAUCACGAAGAACUCCGAUUG
Molecule: ribosomal RNA, 692 nt
Filed under: uncultured bacterium
Lineage: Bacteria
Description: bacterial SSU rRNA
Rfam family: Bacterial small subunit ribosomal RNA
Source: RNAcentral